UGGUGCCUUCGGGAACUCUGACACAGGUGCUGCAUGGCUGUCGUCAGCUCGUGUCGUGAGAUGUUGGGUUAAGUCCCGUAACGAGCGCAACCCUUGUCCUUAGUUACCAGCACGUUAUGGUGGGCACUCUAGGAGACUGCCGGUGACAAACCGGAGGAAGGUGGGGAUGACGUCAAGUCAUCAUGGCCCUCACGGCCUGGGCUACACACGUGCUACAAUGGUCGGUACAAAGGGUUGCCAAGCCGCGAGGUGGAGCUAAUCCCAUAAACCGAUCGUAGUCCGGAUCGCAGUCUGCAACUCGACUGCGUGAAGUCGGAAUCGCUAGUAAUCGUGAAUCAGAAUGUCACGGUGAAUACGUUCCCGGGCCUU
This 369-nucleotide ribosomal RNA is filed under the name uncultured Pseudomonas sp. RNAcentral's name for it is "bacterial SSU rRNA". It matches the Rfam family "Bacterial small subunit ribosomal RNA", at positions 1012 to 1382 of the family's 1533-position model. Lineage: Bacteria; Pseudomonadati; Pseudomonadota; Gammaproteobacteria; Pseudomonadales; Pseudomonadaceae. The record is from RNAcentral.